Molecule: long non-coding RNA, 981 nt
Organism: Puntigrus tetrazona (Sumatra barb)
Lineage: Eukaryota; Metazoa; Chordata; Actinopteri; Cypriniformes; Cyprinidae
Exons: 3
Source: RefSeq, a predicted model, not a curated record
GUAUAGCAUAAUCUUUGGAUUUGAGUAAGAGGGGACUCGUCUAAAAGUACCUGUGAAAUUCUGCCAUCAUCUGGUAAUGAGUGCGAGAAAAUACCCCUUACUAGGUGGCGCUGCUUGACAAGAUCUCUCCGGCUUCUCCAGUUCGGUCCAGUUUUUGCUGCUUGAGGUCUGCAGUGAGUUCGUCUAAACGAAUGUCUUCUUGUUAAUGAAAUGCUGCAUUCCGUGUUGUCACGACGCUCGCCUUCUGAAGCUCCCCAAUGAUUUAUCUUCACGACUCCUGUUAAGGCAGGUAGAAGCUCAACCUGUCAUACAGACGAUAUAAACGCAAACAUUAUACCACACGUGUAGCAUGUAGACUUUCUUACACUUCUGUGGAACGAAAAAUAAGUAUUUUGAAGAAUGUUUAGAACCAAACAGGUUUGGUUACCGUGGACGUCCAUGGCAUUGGUUAAAACCCCUCAGCCAUUUCUCAAAAUGUGUUUUGUGUUCCACAAAAGAAAGCAAGCCGUAUGGCAAAAUGUUUGUAUUAUUUAACCCCAAAUGCUUCUAAAUCGGAUGUUGGUAGCCCAUUGUACAAUGGCUUUCAGUGAAAUACAAAACAGCAAAGGGUUAGUGGUCAUCAGGAUUAACGAUAAUUAAAGGUGUCCUAUAACUGAAUAAUAUUUUUUAUGGUUGUUUCUUUUUUUUUUUGUAAUAUUCUGCUCCAGUGGUUUUUAAUAUAGCAACAAUACAUUAAUAGGAAGAAUGACUCAAUGUUGAAUGAAGCUUUAAGAACCAUAAUGGCUGUUAUAUAAUGAAACAUGUCUUUAUGUUUGUGCAGUGGCCUAGUUUUCAGUUGACUGUACUGUACUUAAUAACUUUGCUAUACAUGAAGGAACUACAUGCAGUGAGCUUGUUUCAUAAUGUCAGAACCACUUGACAUUUGAGCCUUUGUCCAAAUAAAGUGUACUAUCUUGUUGCCUUUAAGUCAGACCAAAAGCA